RNAcentral lists this ribosomal RNA (403 nucleotides) under bacterium. RNAcentral describes it as "partial 16S ribosomal RNA". It matches the Rfam family "Bacterial small subunit ribosomal RNA", at positions 355 to 776 of the family's 1533-position model. The record is from RNAcentral.
UGGGGAAUAUUGCACAAUGGAGGGAACUCUGAUGCAGCGACGCCGCGUGAACGAAGAAGGCUUUCGAGUCGUAAAGUUCUUUUAUAUGGGAAGAUAAUGACGGUACCAUAAGAAAAAGCCCCGGCUAACUACGUGCCAGCAGCCGCGGUAAUACGUAGGGGGCUAGCGUUGUCCGGAAUCACUGGGCGUAAAGGGUUCGCAGGCGGAAAUGCAAGUCAGGUGUAAAAGGCAGUAGCUUAACUACUGUAAGCAUUUGAAACUGCAUAUCUGGAGAAGAGUAGAGGUAAGUGGAAUUUUUAGUGUAGCGGUGAAAUGCGUAGAUAUUAAAAAGAAUACCGGUGGCGAAGGCGACGUACUGGGCUCAUUCUGACGCUGAGGAACGAAAGCGUGGGUAGCAAACAGG